RNAcentral lists this ribosomal RNA (759 nucleotides) under Acinetobacter radioresistens WC-A-157. RNAcentral's name for it is "bacterial SSU rRNA". It matches the Rfam family "Bacterial small subunit ribosomal RNA", at positions 31 to 786 of the family's 1533-position model. The record is from RNAcentral. Lineage: Bacteria; Pseudomonadati; Pseudomonadota; Gammaproteobacteria; Moraxellales; Moraxellaceae.
GAACGCUGGCGGCAGGCUUAACACAUGCAAGUCGAGCGGAUGAAGGUAGCUUGCUACCGGAUUCAGCGGCGGACGGGUGAGUAAUGCUUAGGAAUCUGCCUAUUAGUGGGGGACAACGUUCCGAAAGGAGCGCUAAUACCGCAUACGUCCUACGGGAGAAAGCAGGGGACCUUCGGGCCUUGCGCUAAUAGAUGAGCCUAAGUCGGAUUAGCUAGUUGGUAGGGUAAAGGCCUACCAAGGCGACGAUCUGUAGCGGGUCUGAGAGGAUGAUCCGCCACACUGGGACUGAGACACGGCCCAGACUCCUACGGGAGGCAGCAGUGGGGAAUAUUGGACAAUGGGGGGAACCCUGAUCCAGCCAUGCCGCGUGUGUGAAGAAGGCCUUUUGGUUGUAAAGCACUUUAAGCGAGGAGGAGGCUACCUAGAUUAAUACUUUAGGAUAGUGGACGUUACUCGCAGAAUAAGCACCGGCUAACUCUGUGCCAGCAGCCGCGGUAAUACAGAGGGUGCGAGCGUUAAUCGGAUUUACUGGGCGUAAAGCGUGCGUAGGCGGCCAAUUAAGUCAAAUGUGAAAUCCCCGAGCUUAACUUGGGAAUUGCAUUCGAUACUGGUUGGCUAGAGUAUGGGAGAGGAUGGUAGAAUUCCAGGUGUAGCGGUGAAAUGCGUAGAGAUCUGGAGGAAUACCGAUGGCGAAAGCAGCCAUCUGGCCUAAUACUGACGCUGAGUACGAAAGCAUGGGGAGCAAACAGAUUAGAUACC